RNAcentral lists this ribosomal RNA (253 nucleotides) under uncultured bacterium. Its description in RNAcentral is "partial 16S ribosomal RNA". It matches the Rfam family "Bacterial small subunit ribosomal RNA", at positions 524 to 776 of the family's 1533-position model. The record is from RNAcentral.
UACGGAGGGUGCGAGCGUUGUCCGGAAUCAUUGGGCGUAAAGGGCUCGUAGGCGGUCUGUUGCGUCGGGAGUGAAAACUUACAGCUUAACUGUGAGCGUGCUUUCGAUACGGGCAGACUUGAGGCAUUCAGGGGAGAACGGAAUUCCUGGUGUAGCGGUGAAGUGCGCAGAUAUCAGGAGGAACACCGGUGGCGAAGGCGGUUCUCUGGGAAUGUCCUGACGCUGAGGAGCGAAAGUGUGGGGAGCGAACAGG